Molecule: long non-coding RNA, 1011 nt
Organism: Patiria miniata (bat star)
Lineage: Eukaryota; Metazoa; Echinodermata; Asteroidea; Valvatida; Asterinidae
Exons: 4
Source: RefSeq, a predicted model, not a curated record
CUAAUAAUUUUACAGUGGAUUUUGUUCAACCGGGCCCUACACUACACAAUCGUGUAGUUACGGGCCCGGUUCCCCAAGACAUAGAGAACAAAAUCAUUAGAAUUGAGAGAAGUCAGCUUUAGGUUGAAAAGGUCAAUUUUGAAUGAUAAAAUUAAAAACACCCUCGACUCUUUUGAUCAAAACUGAAUUACAUGCUAAAGAGGGGCUCGCAAACUACACAAUCGCUGAAAUCAUUUCAGGAAAGAACGAGAGGAAGCCACUCCAUUUUGAAAGUAUUUUCAUAACAAACUUUUUUGGAAUGUUGGAAAUUCCACUACUGCAAUUUCAAUCCAAGGUAUUAACCAAUUAUUGUAUCUCAUCAAGUGUUAUUCUUUCCUGUCAUUUCUAUACUGCAACCACAUGCCUUCUUAUUAAAGUUGAGCUCUGCCCACGUUGACGGGUCAUAUAAUCCCUCAACUUCAACUGUACCCUCAAUUACAAGCAAGAUUACAAGCAAGAUUUUGCUCUCUAGCAAAGCACUCGAGAGGCGAAAAAUCAAGUGCGCAACAGUCAACUGAGUCAAGAGAAACAUCUGGUACUGGUCUCUAUUUUUGAACAUCGCUCCAUAGUCUGCUACCAGAGAGGAAAUGCUUGACGAUGUGAAGAUUCCGUGUUUUGUCGAGGGAAUGGCCAACCCACUCGUCCACUUAAUUCAUGUAUUGUGAGCGGCCUUAUAUGCCUAGUGACUAUCGAGACCCCGAACCCUAACUGGGAACAUGGGGACGAGGAAUUGUUGUUGGACUAUAUGGCCAUGAUGUCGAGCUAGGCUCCACCGACCCCUAGCCAUGUGGUCCAGGUCUCAAACCACACCGCCAUCGCCGCACCCUUCGAAUCCACAUCACCCUGGAACAUUUCGGAUCGGCCAAACCCCCGACACCACCAGACAAAGACAAGGAGUCCAAGGAUUCCUCAAAGCGAUCCCCAGAAGCAAGCAGAGGAAUUGUUCCUCGUCGUGCCGUCAUCCGGCUUUCU